This 253-nucleotide ribosomal RNA is filed under the name uncultured bacterium. Its description in RNAcentral is "partial 16S ribosomal RNA". It matches the Rfam family "Bacterial small subunit ribosomal RNA", at positions 524 to 776 of the family's 1533-position model. The record is from RNAcentral.
UACGUAGGGGGCAAGCGUUGUCCGGAAUCAUUGGGCGUAAAGCGCGUGUAGGCGGCUCGAUAAGUCUGCUGUGAAAGUCCAGGGCUCAACCCUGGAAUGCCGGUGGAAACUGUCGGGCUAGAGUCCGGAAGAGGCGAGUGGAAUUCCUGGUGUAGCGGUGGAAUGCGUAGAGAUCCGGAAGAACACCGGUGGCGAAGGCGGUCUGCUGGGGUAAAGCUGACACUGAGGCGCGACAGCGUGGGGAGCAAACAGG